AGUGAACGCUGGCGGUAGGCCUAACACAUGCAAGUCGAACGGCAGCACAGUAAGAGCUUGCUCUUACGGGUGGCGAGUGGCGGACGGGUGAGGAAUACAUCGGAAUCUACUUUUUCGUGGGGGAUAACGUAGGGAAACUUACGCUAAUACCGCAUACGACCUACGGGUGAAAGCAGUGGAUCUUCGGACCUUGCGCGAUUGAAUGAGCCGAUGUCGGAUUAGCUAGUUGGCGGGGUAAAGGCCCACCCAGGCGACGAUCCGUAGCUGGUCUGAGAGGAUGAUAAGCCACACUGGAAGUGGAACACGGUCCAGACUCCUACGGGAGGCAGCAGUGGGGAAUAUUGGACAAUGGGCGCAAGCAUGAUACAGCCAUACCGCGUGGGUGAAGAGGGCCUUCGGGUUGUAAAGCCCUUUUGUUGGGAAAGAAAAGCAGCAGGUUAAUACCCCGCUGUUCUGACGGUACCCAAAGAAUAAGCACCGGCUAACUUCGUG
This 492-nucleotide ribosomal RNA is filed under the name uncultured bacterium. RNAcentral's name for it is "partial 16S ribosomal RNA". It matches the Rfam family "Bacterial small subunit ribosomal RNA", at positions 29 to 507 of the family's 1533-position model. The record is from RNAcentral.